This 287-nucleotide unclassified non-coding RNA is filed under the name Ascomycota sp. RNAcentral describes it as "partial contains small subunit ribosomal RNA, internal transcribed spacer 1, and 5.8S ribosomal RNA". The stretch from base 1 to 47 matches the Rfam family "Eukaryotic small subunit ribosomal RNA", at positions 1785 to 1831 of the family's 1831-position model. The record is from RNAcentral. Lineage: Eukaryota; Fungi; Ascomycota.
AAAGUCGUAACAAGGUUUCCGUAGGUGAACCUGCGGAAGGAUCAUUACUAGAGCAAAGGAUAGGUGAUCGACUCUACUCCGGUAGGGUUGAGAGCCGUCGAACCUCUCGGAGAAGUUUGGUCCUGAACUCCACCCUUGAAUAAAUUACCUUUGUUGCUUUGGCGGGCCGCCUCGCGCCAGCGGCUUCGGCUGUUGAGUGCCCGCCAGAGGACCACAACUCUUGUUUUUAGUGAUGUCUGAGUACUAUAUAAUAGUUAAAACUUUCAACAACGGAUCUCUUGGUUCUG